Long non-coding RNA from Lepisosteus oculatus (spotted gar), 3555 nucleotides. Lineage: Eukaryota; Metazoa; Chordata; Actinopteri; Semionotiformes; Lepisosteidae. The record is from Ensembl.
ACCAUAAAAUGUAGUAAUAACAACAAGUAGUAGAAAUAAUAGGACAAUGUUUAUUAUACAGUAGACGUUUUAAAAUAAUGUAUUUUAGGACACCUGUUAGCUGCUCUUUGACAAGGAGUGCCCUACACAAAACAUUUGGCUUCAUACUAAAUGUAUUUGUCACUAGGCUGAGGGUGAUAUUUCACAGAGGCCGACAGAAAUCAAUAGAUAUGACGUAGCCAAGCAAAAUGGGCUCCCUGACUGCAGGGCAGCAUCAGAUACAUCACCAUGACAACAGAAGGCUUGUGUUUUUAAUUACUUUCUUCUCUAUUAAAACAAUAAAAAACAAAUAGUACUUCAGCAGCUUCAAGGAAAAAAAAACUUUAUUUAACCACAUACUGUAUUUAAACUCAGAAAAGAGACUAUUAGACAAUUAAAAUUGUUUCAAACUGCUUCACCAUUGAAUUAGAACAUACUGUAUAAAAAGUUACCAAUGAGGCCAUUUAGGCCCAUAUAGGGCAUUUGGUUGCCAGUAGCUAACUGAUCUGAAGAUCUCAUCCAGCUGUUUCCUGAAAGAAGCCAGGGUAUCAGCUUCAACAACAUGGCUGAGUAGCUUCUUCCACAUCUCAAUUUUUAGACUCUGUGAGGUCUCUUUCCAGGUUCUUCUCUCACCAUUUCCUUAGCAUAGGACGCCUGUGAGAGAGUGACACGCCGUAAGCUUCCUUUGGGACUCGCACUGCCUAUCAGCCCCCAGGCAGUGGCAGUUUAGGCCCAGUGCCCAGUCAGGGAAAGAGCACAACCUUCUACAGUACAUUUUUCCAGUUUCGUGUGAAUAGCAAGUGUAGUAAAGCUGGAGGGGAGCUGGCCUGGUCUGGCCAGUCUGGAGUGUGUGUUGCACUGGCACUGGGAAGCCCUGCUGGAUCCUGUUCUCACGCCAGGGUAGGUGCUCCAUGAAGAAGGACACAGGUCAGGGCUCCCGCUGCUUGUUAAACUACAGCUCUGUCCAAGAACACUCUGAUUCAGACUCCUCUGCUGGGUCUGCAAGGAUUUUUGCACGGGAAGACGGCGCGUGCCGAACGCUAGGACAGCUCUCGACGAGACACGAGACGCUGCGGUGGCCGCACGCAUCUGCUCCCACUCCCCCGUUCGAAACAGAUCGAGUGCGGAAGAGGUUAAGCAAAUCUCUACCAGUUUGCGUCAGUUUCACCUCUCAAGGGCAUCGGUUUUAUCAGCCGCUGUGAGUUCUAAAUUAUGUCUGCUCCACGUCGAACGCGCUACUGAGUUACGAGGCGUCUUGCUGCCAGUCUUUAAAUGGCAGCGGGACUGGGUGUAGUGGCAGGAGGCACCGGCUGGUGACCUAAUAUUUCCAGACUCUCCCCAUUCGUCAUUGUCUCUGCAAACCCGCGUCAUGACUCUGGACAUUCAUUUACACGCAAUGUGAAAUUUUCAGAAUCCUGCAAACAGUAGAGACGGAAUAAAAACAGAAAUUGUUUCUUCUGUUUGUUUGCUUAUUCCCUGUGCUAAUGUGUUGAUCAGAAUGUACUUUUGUGCGCAUGGCUGCAGUAUCAGAAACAACCAAUUUAGAAAGGGAAAACUGAAGUAUAACUGUCUAUUUCUCCUUCUGUGUGAUUAAGGUUUGCAUGUUCUGUAAAAGCAAAUACUGAAUUCAGGAAACACUGUCUGAAUUCUCUUAAGAAACGCAGUUUCUUGUCUAGGACUUGAAAAGACAAAUAGCAAAAUUCAUUUCAGGUUACAAAUCUAGAUGUUCCCAAGCUGUAAUUAUAAAAUAUAUUGCAGAAAAACAACUCAAUCUUUUCAUCUCUAAGCACAAAAGUGGAAACAUUCCAAAGCAAAACUGCAAUUUGCAACCUUUCCUCUAAGAAAGGUAAAUUAUUCCUAUGAGUUUACAAGGAAGUAGCUCACUAAGGUCUGAGUAUUUGUGAGCAGCUAACAUUUUCAGCUUUGAUUUAAAUAUAUUGUUGAAUUACCACAGAAUGAAAGCUCAGCCGCAGGAUGCACAAAAAUAAUGACAUAGGCUUUUGAAAAAUUGCAAAUAUUACCAGUUUUAAUUAAAAUCUUAUAUCCUCAUUGCUAUUAUUAUUUUCUGUGAGCCAAAUUGAGUUUUUUUAAUCAGUAGUAUAUGGACUUAGCAGAAAAAAGAAGAUUCUGAUGAGAUCUCAAAGACAAUAAUAUGAUAAAAUAUCUCUAUUAACCAGACAACGUUUAAAUAUUUAUGCACAGUGCAGCAAAAUGUAGUUAACUCUUUGUGUCUCAGUAAGUACCUGGUAAGAAAAGGCUGGGCUCCAGUUAGAGCUGCAGUUACCACAGAGCAGCACCAGCAGAUUCCUACACUCUGCCCUGGCAUCAGUACAGGGCAGAAGGUGAGUCAUCCACAGGUUAUUUUAAGAGAAGCAGGUGGUGUCAGAAUGAGGACUUUUUCUUUGCUGACCAGCUGUUUCUAAAUAAGAAACAAUAAGUCAGAAAGCAGAAACAUGUCAUGCAAGCAACCCCAACCAGAAAUUACAGAUGAGAUUCCAUCGGACUGGAAUCCCACCUUUCUGGGCCACAGGCGGUUAUCUGAUAGCGGUGCAGAAUACAGAGCAGAGAUGUCAGCAGCUCCCAUAUGGUUUACAAGGGCUCAUGAUAUCCUGUUUUGACACCAAGAAUGGAUAUAGGAUCUUCUGGAAGUCAGGAUUUGAUAUUUUGAACAUGCAUUAAUUCCAAUUUACAGUAUACAUGUAUCCAUCUUUAAAUUGCUUAAAAUGUAUUAAAAUACCAUCAAUAGUUCAAAAUAAAUAGAAAAACAUGUUUUCUGAAGAUGAAUGUCAAUCAGUUAGUAACAUACUCAAAUACUCGGGGUAUUCCAAGGAGAUUCAUGAAGAUAGGCAUAAGAGAAAAGACAGUUUGGUGUACCUGGUCUUUUGACGAGUACUCAGUUUAUUUGAUACUGACUGACACAAAUUUAAUUUGAAUGAAAGGGUAUGGAGGAAAUGAAUAAUUCCAGGAAGAUCAAUAACUGUUCAUAGUAGCACAGAAGAAGAAGAUUGGGAAUCUUUACUCACAGCUCUGAAACUCUGGCCUUCACUGGUCUCACUCAUCCUUUUGCCAUUACAAGACAUCAGAUAUAAGAUGAAAGAUCUACAAACAAGUAUUUAAGAUGCUAUUAAGGCACUAGCAAACCUCUUACAUUAAUGUGCAAUGCCAGAAAUAUACAACAUAUACGUCAUAAGAUUUUGGAGGGGAUGAGUGUUUUAUUACAGGACAUUGCCUUGGCUUUCAGAACAUCUGGUAACUUCAAACAAAAGGCUGAUUUCCAUGGGAGCCCAGAGGUUUGAUCUGUGGUUAGCAUACUGUGUUUGUAUUUGGACUGCUUUAAGAGCAUUGAGAACUGUUGAGAAUUGAGAAUUUCUGCUGUACAAACAUUUAUCUGUGACUCCUGGCGAUAAAUUAUCAGUCUUGCUGGAGCUUCUACACAGAUAUUGCAAACACAAUCUUCUUCAUGUUCUGUCACAUGUUGCUUAAGCUUUCUAAGCACAAGACAUGUUUACACUGAUGUUCAUUGUGUGUGCCUUGUAA